GGGCCCGCACAAGCGGUGGAGUAUGUGGUUUAAUUCGAUGCAACGCGAAGAACCUUACCAGGGUUUGACAUCCUGUGCCACUCCGAGAGAUCGGACGUUCCCUUCGGGGACGCAGUGACAGGUGCUGCAUGGCUGUCGUCAGCUCGUGUCGUGAGAUGUUCGGUUAAGUCCGGCAACGAGCGCAACCCACACCCUUAGUUGCCAGCAGUUCGGCUGGGCACUCUAAGGGAACUGCCCGUGAUAAGCGGGAGGAAGGUGUGGAUGACGUCAAGUCCUCAUGGCCCUUACGGGUUGGGCUACACACGUGCUACAAUGGCAGUGACAAUGGGUUAAUCCCAAAAACUGUCUCAGUUCGGAUUGUUCUCUGCAACUCGAGAGCAUGAAGUCGGAAUCGCUAGUAAUCG
This 404-nucleotide ribosomal RNA is filed under the name uncultured bacterium. RNAcentral describes it as "bacterial SSU rRNA". It matches the Rfam family "Bacterial small subunit ribosomal RNA", at positions 917 to 1344 of the family's 1533-position model. The record is from RNAcentral.